Pan paniscus (pygmy chimpanzee) is the source of this 504-nucleotide long non-coding RNA. Lineage: Eukaryota; Metazoa; Chordata; Mammalia; Primates; Hominidae. The record is from Ensembl.
CUUCACAGCUGUCUGGACCUUCUGAGAACAAAAGGAAUACUGCUCUUACAGUGAACCAGGAAUGAAGUUUUGUGACAAGAUUGAGUCUUAUGGCAGUGCUGACUGAGGACGAGACCAGGAAUUAUAUAACUAUGAGGAUGCUGGUGGCUAAAUUGAGGAGACACCUUACCAAGACCUCAUUUAUUUUAACACUUCCUGGGAGACCUUUAUUGUCAAACUCGACCAGAUUUAUUCAACAAACAGCAAUUCAAGAAAGCAGUGGAAAAGAGCUGAGUCACAGUGAAAGUGACAUUUCCCUUUGCAGCUGAAGAAACCACCGGCUGUGAUUAACUGCUUGACUAGUCCUCCAGUGUGAAGGAUCACAAUGGGAUCAAGAAGGCUUGGCUGGGCUAUGAGAAAGAAAAGAACUGAAUCAAAUUGGAGCUGGGGAAACUCAGUUCACAGGAUCCCCUAAAAGUUACAAAUGUCACAAGUGUGAGUGACCAUUCAUUUACUUAAUCAGGC